UUGACAUUUAAUUAAAUGUUUAAUAUUUGACUAUGCAACAUGUUUGUUUACGUUAUGUAUUUGCUAAGUUUUUCUUUCAUCUGCACGUAAGCCUCAUGGAACGCACCCAUAAAUUGACGUUAUCUUACAUAUGUGAUCUUAUCUGUGAUUGUAUCUUUUGACGGUUUAACAACUAUUAUCUAUGGUUUAACAAUUUACUAUUUAUUAGUUUUUCGGAGUUGAUGGUUCGUCCCAUUCGUCCUAAUUGUAAUACUUGGGUUAAUUUUGGUAUUUCGCUUUGUUCUUGGUGCGUUUUUGUUAUUUAUUUCAUGUUAUAUAUUUAAUAACAUAGUCAAUCUGUUGUUCUUGUCGAUCAUUUGCAGAUAAUUGACUUAAUAGUGUGCUGUGGUGCAGGACUCCCUCGACUUGGUUGUUUGCUGGUUACGAUUAACCUAGAACGAAUUUGCAGUAAAUUGGCAGUGCAAUAUCUGAGGAUCGUGUCUGUGAUUGUGUUAACAUCUAAUUCUCAAAUAAGUGAUCUUUUUUUUGUUUGUCUAUAUAACCAUAAAGUGACUAUGAUGUCUUAAAGCAACUCUUAACCAUCUUCCUGUGGUGAUAGAAGGGAGUUCUUAUUAACAACACUAGUAUAAACUUAACCAGUACAAAGUCCGGUAAGGUUAACCUGCUUUUUAUAAGAAACGAGCACUGUAUUAUUAGUAAGGUGUUUAAGUAAUUGGUAACCACUAUUAAUUAAUAAAAAGUAACAUUCAUUUAAAUCACUUAAUGAACAGAGAAGAAGGUUGAUAAUUACUUUAAUAUGGUAUGCACGUAAUGUUACUAAGGAGGCUAAACUGAUCAUAUGUGAUAGUGAGUUCAUUUGAAGUUAUAUUACCCUCUUAAUUUUUAAAAAUGCAACAUGUUUAUUUUCUUUGACAAGAGUAUAUUUUGCUUUGUCUGUAAUUUUUCCUUUCAUGUAUAGUAACCCUCUUUAUGGAACGCAUCCAAUUUCUUCAUAGCAUAAAUUGAGGUUAACUUUCAUCUACGGUUAUUUGAUUUUGAUAUUUUGACAGUUGAUUGUGUUUUUUAUAGUGGAUGUAAUACUUGGUUUAAUUUCGGCAUUUCACUUGGUUUUUGGUAAUUGACUUAAUAGACUGCUGUGGUGUAGGACUGUCUGGACUUUGUUGUUUGCUGUUUACCAUUAACCUAGAACGAAUUUGCAGUCAAUAAUUGUGGGAGUAGAGGCCAUAAUAUUUUUUAUUGAUAUAAAUUGUGAAAUAGGUUCAUAAUUACUUUAAGAUGCAUGCUGUUUUAAUAGGGAAGAUGAGUUAAUAAUUCAUAGUGAGUACAUUUUACAUUAGUAUUUUUGUUAUUUUUAAAUACAUAAGAAGUACAUUUUCUUCAACAAUUGCACAUUAAGUUUUGUGGUUGUAAGAUGUUUUUGUUUUUGCUUAAUAAUGCUACUUUAAGCAUGUAUGUUAAGAUGCAUAUUAUUUUUCCAGGGAAGAUGAGUUAAUAAUUCUGAGUACAUUUUACAUUAGUAUUUUUGUUAUUUUUAAAUACAUAAGAAGUACAUUUCCAUUAACAAUUGUACACCAAGUCUUGUGGUUGUAAGAUGUUUUUGUUUUUGCUUAAUAAUGCUACAUUGUGUAUUUAUUUUUCUGUUCAUCUGUAUGUAAGCCUCACAUCACAUUAUAUCCCACACCCAAAUCUCAUACCCUAAACGCCACACGGCACAUUCACAGUAGAUGUCACUUAUUACAUGCUCCACUCACGCCACGUAUCGCGCAACAUCCUACCGUCCGUUGUCUGUUCAGCUGUGUCUGAAAACCGUCAUAUGAUGUACUGUGGUGUUCGAUGGGUGUUGAGUGUCCUGUGGCCGGAAAGAGGGAGUGCGGUGUCCACGUUCGAUGAGCGGUGUUUGGCGUUAUGCGUCCAAUAAGUGGUGGAUAAAUAGAUGGAAUCUUACGGAUGUGAAAGGUUGUGCGUCUUGUAGGUGUUGCCGCCCCUUGUCCGUUGUUGGAAGGUAUUCAGCAGCUGAUGUGUCUGACAUUCGGCGCCAUAAUCCAUGUUACGGUCUGGGAUUGCAGUACCCGGUAAUGAGUGAGUUGUGUCCGGUGUCAGGAGACUGUUUUGUCCGAAACGGAUCAUCAGGAUUCAUGUACCUGGUAAGUGAUAAACGUUAUGUUUUUGGGGUGUAGUAGUAGUAGAUGUAGGAGUGGGGUCGUCAGGCCAAGUCGGGUUAGGUUAGGUCGGGUCAGAUCAGUUUAAGUUGGGACAGGUAAGGUCGGGCUCGGUCAGGACGGGUCAGGUCAAGUUGUGUCAUUUUAAGUUGGGUCAGGUCAUCUCCGGCCAGGUCGGGUCCUUUCGUGUCCGGCUUGGUCAGGUCAAGUCGGGUCAGGUAGUGAGGUAAGGUCGGGCUAUUUCGGGUCGGGUCAGGUCAGCUCGGGUCAGUUCAGAUCAGGUCGGUCGGGUGGAGUUAGGUCAGGUCAGGUCGUAUUGGGACGGGUCGGUUUGGCCUUGUUGUGUCGAGUCAGGUCAAGUCAGGUCUGAUUCAGUCAGGUAGGUCUCGGUUAAAUGAAGUCCGGUCAGGUGACGUCGGGUCAUUUCAGGUAGGGUAAGGUUAGAUGGUAUCUAGUUAAGGUUAGGAAGGGUCGGAUUAGGUCAGGUCGUAUUGGGACGAGACAGGUCGGAUUAAUUCAUGUUCCGUCUGGUUAAUUUGGGUCAGGUCGGGCCAGACGAAGUCGGGUCAUUUCAGGUUCCGUUGGGUUAGGUCAGGUAGGGUCAGGCCGUGUCAAGUCAGAUUGGGUCAGGCCGUGUCAAGUCAGUUAAGGUUAGGUUAGUUUAGGUCAGGCCAGGUGAGGUCGGGUCUGAUCUGGUGAGGUCGGAUUCGGGUCGCGUUAAUUGGUGUUGCGUUAGGUCAGGACACGCCUUGUCAGGUCAGGUCAAGUCAAGUCAAGGUCAGGUUAAUACAUAUCAAAUCAGGUCAGGCCAGGUCAAGUCAGGUCGAUCUCAGUUUAAGGUCAGGUUUUCUCAGG
Molecule: long non-coding RNA, 3014 nt
Organism: Agrilus planipennis (emerald ash borer)
Lineage: Eukaryota; Metazoa; Arthropoda; Insecta; Coleoptera; Buprestidae
Exons: 3
Source: RefSeq, a predicted model, not a curated record